RNAcentral lists this microRNA precursor (208 nucleotides) under Oryza brachyantha (malo sina). Its description in RNAcentral is "MIR812 microRNA precursor family". It matches the Rfam family "MIR812 microRNA precursor family". Lineage: Eukaryota; Viridiplantae; Streptophyta; Magnoliopsida; Poales; Poaceae. The record is from Rfam by way of RNAcentral.
GAUAAACCAAUUUUUCACUUUUUAUUUUUAAUUUUUGAUUCUUCGUCUUAUUCAAAAAAAUUUUGCGAUUGAUAUUUUUAUUUUUAUUAGAUGAUAAAUUAUGAAUAGUACUUUACGUGUGACUAAAUUUUUUUUUAAUUUCCUGAAAAUUUUUCAAAUAAGAUGGAUGGUCAAACGUUGGACACGGAAACCGAAGAAUUCGUUUUUU